Molecule: long non-coding RNA, 100 nt
Organism: Osmerus eperlanus (European smelt)
Lineage: Eukaryota; Metazoa; Chordata; Actinopteri; Osmeriformes; Osmeridae
Exons: 3
Source: RefSeq, a predicted model, not a curated record
UGAGUGUGUGAAGAAUGUGUCUGGUGUGUGUAACGUGUGUGCUUGGUGUGCGUAUAGAACAUGUGUAUGUUUGGUGUGUGUGUAUAAGAGAGAGAGAGAG